RNAcentral lists this ribosomal RNA (253 nucleotides) under uncultured bacterium. RNAcentral's name for it is "partial 16S ribosomal RNA". It matches the Rfam family "Bacterial small subunit ribosomal RNA", at positions 524 to 776 of the family's 1533-position model. The record is from RNAcentral.
UACGAAGGGUGCAAGCGUUAAUCGGAAUUACUGGGCGUAAAGCGUGCGUAGGCGGUCUUUUAAGUCUGCUGUGAAAUCCCCGGGCUCAACCUGGGAAUGGCAGUGGAUACUGGGAGGCUAGAGUGUGUCAGAGGAUGGUGGAAUUCCCGGUGUAGCGGUGAAAUGCGUAGAGAUCGGGAGGAACAUCAGUGGCGAAGGCGGCCAUCUGGUACAACACUGACGCUGAGGCACGAAAGCGUGGGGAGCAAACAGG